AAGUGCUUGUGUUCAUGGGAGACCAAAGCGAUUCAGUAGAUCUCAUCUUAUGUCAUGAGAAGUGAACACUCGCCACAGCUGCCAUUUUGUUAACUGCAGUGUUCCAGGGCUGAUGAAAUAACAACGAAUAAACGUCUGCUGUAUGUUCAUCAGAUUGGUUUUAUUUCUCAUCUGUGCCGUAAGAACCAACUAUUAAAAUCUUUUCAUAUCACUUCUGCAGAUACAAGUGCAGCUUUGAAAGAAUGAGUUGACACAGACAAGGUAACAUUCAAAAACAACAACUAAAUUAUACUGCUGCUGGAGAAAUGUGAGCCAAAAAGAAUUCGUUUUGAUAUUCUGAUCAUAAGCUGUGAAUGCAGAGUUUGCUGGUAAGAAAAAUCUAAAAGCAAAAAGCUGAAUUUAUACUGCUCAAGGAUACAGGAUGCCACUGAGAGAUGAGCAGUGCAUUUGUAAGG
This is a long non-coding RNA of Lagopus muta (rock ptarmigan), 455 nucleotides long. RefSeq lists it as uncharacterized. The record is from RefSeq and is a predicted model, not a curated record. Lineage: Eukaryota; Metazoa; Chordata; Aves; Galliformes; Phasianidae. The transcript is spliced from 3 exons.